CUUAAUACCCGCUGAAUUUAAGCAUAUAAGUCAGCUGUUACCCCCCUGGGAAAUAAGCAUAUCAAUAAGCGGAGGAAAAGAAACUAACCAGGAUUCCCCUAGUAACGGCGAGCGAACCGGGAAAAGCCCAACUUGAAAAUCUCCUGCCCACGGCAGGCGAAUUGUAGUCUAUAGAUCCGUUCUCUGCGUCCGGGCCGGCCGAAGUUCCUUGGAAACGGACGUCGUAGAGGGUGAGAGCCCCGUAGGCCGGCUGGUGUCGCUCCACGAGGCGGAAUCGAAGAGUCGGGUUGUUUGGGAAUGCAGCCCAAAGUCGGUGGUGAAUCCCAUCUAAGGCUAAAUAAGGGCGAGAGACCGAUAGCGAACAAGUACCGCGAGGGAAAGAUGAAAAGAACUUUGAAGAGAGAGUGAAAUAGUGCCUGAAAUUGUUGGGGGGGAAGCGGUCGGACGUCGGGGUGCCCCGCGGCUUAGGUCCCCUGGACGGGGGGCUGUAUGCUCGCGGGGCUGGUCAGCACGGGCAUGCCGGUGGGGAGAAAUGCCGGAUUUGAUUCCGGCUCCUACCCGGCGGUGUGCCGAGGUAAACGGGCGCCGCGACCUUCGGGAUCUGCGUCCGCAAGGUGCUGGCAGAAGGCGUUCGACCGGCCCGUUGAAAAACAACGAAGAAAAG
This 664-nucleotide ribosomal RNA is filed under the name Cephaleuros parasiticus. RNAcentral describes it as "partial large subunit ribosomal RNA". It matches the Rfam family "Eukaryotic large subunit ribosomal RNA", at positions 20 to 671 of the family's 3401-position model. Lineage: Eukaryota; Viridiplantae; Chlorophyta; Ulvophyceae; Trentepohliales; Trentepohliaceae. The record is from RNAcentral.